UCUUGACUACUGUUUAUUCACGGACCUUACGCGGGCCAGUCAGGGAAAGCCCACGGGCCGGAUGUGGCCCGCGGGCCGUAUGUUGCCCAUGUCUGGUUUAGCUGAAAAGGUGUGUUUAGUGUAUGUG
Long non-coding RNA from Alosa sapidissima (American shad), 127 nucleotides. RefSeq lists it as uncharacterized. NCBI's taxonomy places the organism in Eukaryota, Metazoa, Chordata, Actinopteri, Clupeiformes, Clupeidae. The transcript is spliced from 3 exons. The record is from RefSeq and is a predicted model, not a curated record.